AGCAGCCGCGGUAAUUCCAGCUCCAAUAGCGUAUAUUAAAGUUGUUGCAGUUAAAAAGCUCGUAGUUGAAUUUCGGGAUUAGUACGUUGGUCGUGCCUUCGGUACGUACUGGUGUUACUGAUUCCUACCUUCUGACGAACCAUCAUGUCAUUUAUUUGGUGUGGCGGGGAAUCAGGACUGUUACUUUGAAAAAUUAGAGUGUUUAAAGCAGGCUCGCGCUUGAAUACAUUAGCAUGGAAUAAUGAAAUAGGACGUUGAUCCUAUUUUGUUGGUUUCUAGGAUUGACGUAAUGAUUAAUAGGGAUAGUUGGGGGCAUUAGUAUUCAAUUGUCAGAGGUGAAAUUCUUGGAUUUAUUGAAGACUAACUACUGCGAAAGCAUUUGCCAAGGAUGUUUUCAUUAAUCAAGAACGAAAGUUAGGGGAUCGAAGACGAUCAGAUACCGUCGUAGUCUUAACCAUAAACUAUG
Molecule: ribosomal RNA, 466 nt
Filed under: uncultured Glomus
Lineage: Eukaryota; Fungi; Glomeromycota; Glomeromycetes; Glomerales; Glomeraceae
Description: SSU rRNA
Rfam family: Eukaryotic small subunit ribosomal RNA
Source: RNAcentral